CUCUAAAUUGAAUUAUAAAUAAACAAAUAAAAAUAGUAGAAUUGUUAAAAAAAAAUACUGUGGUGCUGGUUAGGGUUUUGGCCAACUUGACAUAGACCAUGGUCAUCUGGGACCCUCCAUCAGAUUAGCCUGUGGGUAGGACUAUGGGGCGUUUUAUUGACCGAUGGUUGAUGGGGGGCAGCCUGGAGGCGGUGCCACUCUGGGCAGGUGGUGGUGGGUUGUGUAAGAAGACUGAGUGAGCCAUGGGGAGCAAGCCAGUGAGCAGCGCCCCUGCAUGGCUCCUGCCUCGGCUUCCCUUGAUGGUGGACUAUACCCCGUAAGUCAAGCCCUUUCUUCCCCCAAGUUGUUGUUGACCAGUGUGUUAUCACAGCAACAGGAACCAAACUAAGUCAGAAAUUGAUAGCUGGUCACAGGGCAUCAUGGUGACAGGCCUGGCCGUCUUGUUUUGGGGAGCAUGUUGGGAGCGUGGAGGACUUUGGGCUGCUGAGUGUUCAACGCUGCUUUGUGGGAGCUUGGAAGGUAAGAGUGUUGAGGGAAAUGGGGGCAUCGGCCGCCCGGCCUGUGGAGUUUCAGAGGGAAGCAAAGCCUCCGCAGGAGUUUCAGAGGGAAGCAAAGCCUCCCCAGGGCCACUUGUAGGUCGGUUUGAAUAAUCCGUGGUUUCUGGUCCGCUGGCGCUGAGGGGGUCAGCUGGAACUAAUAAGAGACCAGAACCACUGAGGAGAACUCUUCUGGGAACUGUUUCCUCAGGGUCAGCACACAGACCCGGGGUUCAGAGAGGGCCAAGGCUGCAUCUCAAACUGGAAGUGAACUUGGGCACGGCGUAAGAGUCCCCUGUGUGGUACGUGACUUGGUGGCGUGAAAGGUCGUGGAGAUUAGCUGAGGCUCCACACUGUGUGAGGCCAGGAGCAGUAAUUGGUGAUGGCGGAGACUCCUGGGUAUGAAGGGGCCAAGGAGAGAAGCUGAGGAGGCACCAGGUGGCAGGGUGGGUCCCCGAAGAUGUCACGAGAGGCCACUGGUGUAGUGCAUAGCUGUCGUGUCGUGGAUAUUCCAGCCUUUUGGACGUUCCGGGACUGUGGGACAACCACCAGAAACAGGGCAGGCGUGGCGCGAGCCAGCCUGUAAGACCAGCUCUGCGUGCCGUGGAUGGCAGGGCCAGCAGAUCUGAGGCGUGGCGGGAGCUCAUUUCAGGGUCCUCGAUGGGCGCGUAUAGCCACGUCCAAACAAGGUGCACUGUCCAGCCGUUCGCAGUGAUGCUGAUUGCACACGUGAAGGCUUCACCCUCGAGGCCUACUGGCCUCUCGCUGCCGUCUCGGGAUUAGAUUGCAGCGUAUGACUUUGGAUAGCACGCGGCAAGCCGCCCACAGCUGUUUUCAAUAAAGGAGCGUCCCGUGGAGACUCGCGAUAUCUGCGUUGCUGGAUGUUGGGCUUUUGCUUUGAUCUGAUCUAGCUGUGCUCCGCCUCCUUCUGGAACUAGCGAAGCAGCACAUGCAGAACACAUGGGGGCCUCGCUGGCCGUGGUCUGUGGUACAUCCUACCCACAGUGGAAACACCGGGUUGGCACAAGCGAAGACACCCACUUGAGUGGCCAGGCAAUCCCUGAGACCUGAAGUUUCCACCAGAGUGACGUCUUCCACUAAGAACAAAAUCAAAAUCAGUUUCAGAAAUAAUGUGGGCUUGUUUCCGAAGAAGCCGAAAGCUUAAAUAAUUUCAUUUAUUUGGGUUGUUGAAAUGUAUGUUUUUUCUGUUAAAACAAAUGAUUGGAUUUCCUAAACUACCUUCUAAAGGGAACCAUUUUCUCCCGUCUCCAGGUUCCUUUUUUUUUUCUUCUUUGUUAUCUCCUGAGUGACUCAUAUCCCAAGUUCCUGUGCUUUCCAUUUACUUAUAUGCGAUGCCGAAAUAUACUAUGACAAGAGUGUCAUGAGGUCUAGAAAGUAAA
This is a long non-coding RNA of Mesocricetus auratus (golden hamster), 1936 nucleotides long. RefSeq lists it as uncharacterized. The transcript is spliced from 2 exons. The record is from RefSeq and is a predicted model, not a curated record. Lineage: Eukaryota; Metazoa; Chordata; Mammalia; Rodentia; Cricetidae.